UACGUAGGGUGCAAGCGUUAAUCGGAAUUACUGGGCGUAAAGCGUGCGCAGGCGGUUUUGUAAGUCAGAUGUGAAAUCCCCGGGCUUAACCUGGGAACUGCGUUUGAAACUACAAGGCUAGAGUGUGGCAGAGGGGGGUGGAAUUCCACGUGUAGCAGUGAAAUGCGUAGAGAUGUGGAGGAACACCGGUGGCGAAGGCGGCUCACUGGCCCGUAACUGACGCUCAUGCACGAAAGCGUGGGGAGCAAACAGG
This 253-nucleotide ribosomal RNA is filed under the name uncultured bacterium. RNAcentral describes it as "partial 16S ribosomal RNA". It matches the Rfam family "Bacterial small subunit ribosomal RNA", at positions 524 to 776 of the family's 1533-position model. The record is from RNAcentral.